This 714-nucleotide ribosomal RNA is filed under the name Triticum aestivum (bread wheat). RNAcentral's name for it is "partial small subunit ribosomal RNA". The record is from RNAcentral. Lineage: Eukaryota; Viridiplantae; Streptophyta; Magnoliopsida; Poales; Poaceae.
AUGCUUUUCUUUUCAAUCUCAGUUGGGCGUUCAAUGCUGCUGUUUACCAUCCCUCACCUGCCAGUAGCCGCAGGUGGAUUGAAAUCCAAUGAUCUGUUUGCUACUGCUGUUGGAUUUUGCAUCAUAUCAGCUAUUAUUGCCGCCGCUAGAGAUUUAUUUGCCUGCACGGCUUCUAGAGGAACAUGGUUUCUAGCUUUGAAGAUGCUUCUGCUUAUCUUAACAUGCAUGGUCAUCAUUCCCCUUUUGGUCGGUUUGUUGGUUGACUUGUUGCUGAUAUCACCAUUCAUCGGGCCUGACCAUGAUUUUCCAGUUCUGGACUUCUUCUGCAUUUGGUCCCUAGGGUCUCUAUUGAAGAAAUUGUGGAUUAAGUUGCUGGCCUAUUUCAUUGAUGAAAGGUGGGAGCAGGCAAAGGUGUACUGGUAUUCCAGGUCUAUACCACUGUGCUGGUUCUUCCAAGGUAUGUUCAUGCCUAUGGCGAUGAAGCUGCUCGCUGCUCUGGGUGCUCCUUAUGUACUCGCCAAGCUCGUCUUCCCAAGAUUCGGCUAUUCUGCCGCCAUGAACUGGACAGUCUACCGUUUCGCAUGGUUGGGUAGCCUCGGCUUCUGUGUGCUGUGCUAUCUUGGCAAGGUGCUCUGCGUCCAACUCCAUGAUUCUAUCAGGGAUGACCGCUACAUCAUCGGGCAGAGGUUGAAAGACGUUGGAUACGGUAACUGA